Molecule: ribosomal RNA, 361 nt
Filed under: uncultured bacterium
Lineage: Bacteria
Description: bacterial SSU rRNA
Rfam family: Bacterial small subunit ribosomal RNA
Source: RNAcentral
AGCGAACGCUGGCGGCAGGCCUAAAACAUGCAAGUCGAACGCCCGUAGCAAUACGGGAGUGGCAGACGGGUGAGUAACACGUGGGAACGUGCCUUUUGGUUCGGAACAACACAGGGAAACUUGUGCUAAUACCGGAUAAGCCCUUACGGGGAAAGAUUUAUCGCCAAGAGAUCGGCCCGCGUCUGAUUAGCUAGUUGGUGAGGUAACGGCUCACCAAGGCUACGAUCAGUAGCUGGUCGAGAGGAUGAUCAGCCACACUGGGACUGAGACACGGCCCAGACUCCUACGGGAGGCAGCAGUUAGGAAUCUUGGACAAUGGGCGCAAGCCUGAUCCAGCCAUGCCGCGUGAGGGAUGACGGCC